UACGUGUUCCUUGAGUUAUAAUCCGGGCUCUCCUGCACACGGGCCACCGGCCACAACCACAAAACGCCGCUACCGGCAUAUUUCCUGUAGUUUUCAUACAUUUUUUGAC
Molecule: long non-coding RNA, 109 nt
Organism: Aricia agestis (brown argus)
Lineage: Eukaryota; Metazoa; Arthropoda; Insecta; Lepidoptera; Lycaenidae
Exons: 3
Source: RefSeq, a predicted model, not a curated record